Molecule: ribosomal RNA, 472 nt
Filed under: uncultured bacterium
Lineage: Bacteria
Description: partial 16S ribosomal RNA
Rfam family: Bacterial small subunit ribosomal RNA
Source: RNAcentral
GACGAACGCUGGCGGCGUGCUUAACACAUGCAAGUCGAACGGGAGUAUUGAAGAAGCUUGCUUUAGAGAUACUUUAGUGGCGGACGGGUGAGUAACGCGUGAGGAGCUGUCCAAUGCAGGGGGACAACAGUUGGAAACGACUGCUAAUACCCCAUAAGCCGAGAGGUACAAGGAUUUAUCCGGCAUGGGAGGUACUCGCGUCCUAUCAGCUAGUAGGUGAGGUAACGGCUCACCUAGGCGAAGACGGGUAGCCGGCCUGAGAGGGCGAACGGCCACACUGGAACUGAGAUACGGUCCAGACUCCUACGGGAGGCAGCAGUGGGGAAUAUUGGGCAAUGGGGGGAACCCUGACCCAGCGACGCCGCGUGGGUGAAGAAAUCCUUCGGGAUGUAAAGCCCUGUUGUAUGGGAAGAGCGGAAGACGGUACCAUACGAGGAAGCCCCGGCAAACUACGUGCCAGCAGCCGCCGUAA